GGAAAACAGCACCUUGAGCUCCUGAGCCAACCCACUGCAGGUCCAGGAUCUCCUCAAAGGGGACUUCCCAGAGGUCUGCAGGCAGGAGACACAGGGCCGCAGGCUGAGACACUCGACACUCCAGGGUUGCCCGAGGAGGAAUGUGCUCGAGUGUCAUUACCAGGCGAAGAAAGAAACAAACCCACUUGGUGGUGAGGAAAGUCUCGGCCGGCUGAAGUGGCUCAGUGGAGAAAAGAAUAUGCUGGGCCAGCCUGCUGCACUCCUCCCACCGACGCCCUCCGCCACACUCGCACCCACAACUCCUUAAAGUAUCAAACUCAAGGACAGGUGUGAGCCGGGGAACAUCAGGAAUCCAGCAUGUAUAAGGCCCUGGACCGAUCUCGGCAGGAGAGGUGGUGGAAUUGUGGCUUCACUGCACCACACUGAACUCACAUACUUGACUGCCUGGGUGCCCAGCUUGGCAGGACCACAGACACAAGGACUGGCAAUGGUGCAGCAGGUUUGAGCGAGCACAGGCUGUGCUUGCAGAGGGCCUGGCUUCGGGUCUCAGAACCUUCUCCAUGACUCACAACCAUCUGAAAGCCCAGUCUCGGGGACCCAAAACCCUCCUCUAGCUUCUCCGGUCCCUGAACACACAUGCUGCAUUCACAGACACGCAGCGAAGCAGCGACACACACAGAAAAAAUAAAUACAGCAGCCUGGUGUGGUGGCGCACGCCUGUAAUCCUCUCCAUUGGGAGUCGUGAACUGGUGGAUCUCUGAGUUCAAAGCCAGCCUGGUUCAUACAGUGAGACCCUAUCUCCAAAAACCCAACAGCAACAAAAAAAGCAAA
Long non-coding RNA from Meriones unguiculatus (Mongolian gerbil), 831 nucleotides. RefSeq lists it as uncharacterized. The transcript has 2 exons. The record is from RefSeq and is a predicted model, not a curated record. NCBI's taxonomy places the organism in Eukaryota, Metazoa, Chordata, Mammalia, Rodentia, Muridae.